RNAcentral lists this ribosomal RNA (292 nucleotides) under uncultured bacterium. Its description in RNAcentral is "partial 16S ribosomal RNA". It matches the Rfam family "Bacterial small subunit ribosomal RNA", at positions 505 to 796 of the family's 1533-position model. The record is from RNAcentral.
GUGUCAGCCGCCGCGGUAAUACGGGGGGAGCAAGCGUUGUUCGGAAUCACUGGGCGUAAAGGGCGUCUAGGCGGUUCGGUAAGUGGGAUGUGAAAUGCCCGGGCUCACCCCGGGACCUGCAUCCCAAACUGCUGAGCUUGAGUACAGGAGAGGGUAGGGGAAUUCCAGGUGUAGCGGUGAAAUGCGUAGAUAUCUGGAGGAACACCGGUGGCGAAGGCGCCUACCUGGCCUGUUACUGACGCUGAAGCGCGAAAGCUAGGGGAGCAAACGGGAUUAGAAACCCCCGUAGUCC